UGCCGGAUGGUGUAAUGGCAGCACGGCGGUUUUUGGGGCCGCUCGUCCGGGUUCGAGUCCUGGUCCGGCAGCAA
RNAcentral lists this transfer RNA (74 nucleotides) under uncultured Chloroflexia bacterium. RNAcentral's name for it is "tRNA-Gln-TTG". It matches the Rfam family "tRNA". Rfam says of the family: Transfer RNA (tRNA) molecules are approximately 80 nucleotides in length. Lineage: Bacteria; Bacillati; Chloroflexota; Chloroflexia. The record is from RNAcentral.